CACUCGUGUCGUGAGAUGUUGGGUUAAGUCCCGCAACGAGCGCAACCCUUGCCAUUAGUUGCUACGGAUAGGGCACUCUAAUGGGACUGCCGGUGACAAACCGGAGGAAGGUGGGGAUGACGUCAAGUCCUCAUGGCCCUUAUGGGUAGGGCUACACACGUCAUACAAUGGCCGGUACAGAGGGCAGCCAACCCGCGAGGGGGAGCCAAUCCCAAAAAACCGGUCGUAGUCCGGAUUGCA
RNAcentral lists this ribosomal RNA (240 nucleotides) under uncultured bacterium. Its description in RNAcentral is "partial 16S ribosomal RNA". It matches the Rfam family "Bacterial small subunit ribosomal RNA", at positions 1057 to 1302 of the family's 1533-position model. The record is from RNAcentral.